This 63-nucleotide transfer RNA is filed under the name Hypoaspis linteyini. Its description in RNAcentral is "tRNA-Ser". Lineage: Eukaryota; Metazoa; Arthropoda; Arachnida; Mesostigmata; Laelapidae. The record is from RNAcentral.
GAUUAUUUAACUUAUUAAAAGUAUUUAUUUUGAAAAUAAAGAAUAGGAAACACCUAAUAAUCU